UACGUAGGGUGCAAGCGUUGUCCGGAAUCAUUGGGCGUAAAGCGCGUGUAGGCGGUUCGGUAAGUCUGCUGUGAAAGUCCAGGGCUCAACCCUGGGAUGCCGGUGGAUACUGUCGGGCUAGAGUACGGAAGAGGCGAGUGGAAUUCCCGGUGUAGCGGUGAAAUGCGCAGAUAUCGGGAGGAACACCAAUUGCGAAGGCAGCUCGCUGGGACGUCACUGACGCUGAGACGCGAAAGCGUGGGGAGCAAACAGG
RNAcentral lists this ribosomal RNA (253 nucleotides) under uncultured bacterium. RNAcentral's name for it is "partial 16S ribosomal RNA". It matches the Rfam family "Bacterial small subunit ribosomal RNA", at positions 524 to 776 of the family's 1533-position model. The record is from RNAcentral.